This 492-nucleotide ribosomal RNA is filed under the name uncultured bacterium. Its description in RNAcentral is "partial 16S ribosomal RNA". It matches the Rfam family "Bacterial small subunit ribosomal RNA", at positions 28 to 507 of the family's 1533-position model. The record is from RNAcentral.
GAUGAACGCUAGCUACAGGCUUAACACAUGCAAGUCGAGGGGAAACGGCAUUAAGUGCUUGCACUUUUUGGACGUCGACCGGCGCACGGGUGAGUAACGCGUAUCCAACCUUCCCAUGACUAAGGGAUAACCUGCCGAAAGGCAGACUAAUACCUUAUGGUCUUCACUGACGGCAUCAGAUGUGAAGUAAAGAUUUAUCGGUUAUGGAUGGGGAUGCGUCUGAUUAGCUUGUUGGCGGGGUAACGGCACACCAAGGCAACGAUCAGUAGGGGUUCUGAGAGGAAGGUCCCCCACAUUGGAACUGAGACACGGUCCAAACUCCUACGGGAGGCAGCAGUGAGGAAUAUUGGUCAAUGGGCGAGAGCCUGAACCAGCCAAGUAGCGUGCAGGAGGACGGCCGUAUGGGUUGUAAACUGCUUUUGUAUGGGGAUAAAGUCAAUCACGUGUGAUUGUUUGCAGGUACCAUACGAAUAAGGACCGGCUAAUUCCGUG